CCUACGGGAGGCUGCAGUGGGGAAUAUUGGACAAUGGGGGGAACCCUGAUCCAGCCAUGCCGCGUGUGUGAAGAAGGCCCUCGGGUUGUAAAGCACUUUCAGUGAGGAAGAACGCCUGGUGGUUAAUACCCAUCAGGAAAGACAUCACUCACAGAAGAAGCACCGGCUAACUCCGUGCCAGCAGCCGCGGUAAUACGGAGGGUGCGAGCGUUAAUCGGAAUUACUGGGCGUAAAGCGCGCGUAGGUGGCUUGAUAAGCCGGUUGUGAAAGCCCCGGGCUCAACCUGGGAACGGCAUCCGGACCUGUCAAGCUAGAGUGCAGGAGAGGAAGGUAGAAUUCCCGGUGUAGCGGUGAAAUGCGUAGAGAUCGGGAGGAAUACCAGUGGCGAAGGCGGCCUUCUGGACUGACACUGACACUGAGGUGCGAAAGCGUGGGUAGCAAACAGGAUUAGAUACCCAAGUAGUC
This 465-nucleotide ribosomal RNA is filed under the name Vreelandella stevensii. Its description in RNAcentral is "partial 16S ribosomal RNA". It matches the Rfam family "Bacterial small subunit ribosomal RNA", at positions 338 to 795 of the family's 1533-position model. Lineage: Bacteria; Pseudomonadati; Pseudomonadota; Gammaproteobacteria; Oceanospirillales; Halomonadaceae. The record is from RNAcentral.